Heterocephalus glaber (naked mole-rat) is the source of this 106-nucleotide small nuclear RNA. NCBI's taxonomy places the organism in Eukaryota, Metazoa, Chordata, Mammalia, Rodentia, Bathyergidae. The record is from Ensembl.
GUGCUCACUUUGGCAGCACAUAUACUAAAAUUGGAAUGAUACACAGAAGAUUAGCAUGGCCCUGCACAAGGAUGACACACAAAUCUGUGAAGUGUUCCAUAUUUUU